GGAUUCUUCUGAGGAAGAUGGACUUCUAGGCUCAUAUCUGGUGGGUGUUGGAGGAGGAGCUGGUCUUUGAAACAAGGGAGAUGGGUUAUAGGUUACAGGGGUUGUAUCAUAGGAGUAGUUGAAAGGUCCAAAAGGAGAGUAAGUAGGUUCAGGUGUUGCAAGGAAAGGAUUUUGUGAUUUCAGGGUAGAGAAAGGGCUGUAAGAAGCGGGUGCUUCUGUUGGUCUGUGAAGGUCUGCUUCGCCCUGAGCCAAUUGUUUUUUCAGUUUCUUGAUCUCAGCUUCCUUUUGGGUAAACUCCAUACCAAACCUUCUUUGUUGUAUCAAGGACUUCAGAUAUAUCAAGAACGUAUCUCUGAUUAUAAAGGUAUAGUACACGUUCUAAGGUUUUCAGGAGAAUGAGAAAAGAAUUAAAAGGCCAUAGAUGAAAAACUGAUAUAUUAUUUCAUAGAAAACUUGGUUUUUUACAACUGAACUGAGAGUCUCCUUAUAUAAACUGGGAGACUCUAGCUUUUACCAGAAACCGGGUAGCAACCUGCUACCGACACUUAAAAGUAAAAGAUUCACACUCAAAGUAAAAGAUACACUAAUUACAUAAUAUAGCCGACGGACUUUAACUUUAAUCAUGGAGUUGUUGACAGGUUGAGUG
RNAcentral lists this unclassified non-coding RNA (646 nucleotides) under Hevea brasiliensis (rubber tree). The record is from RNAcentral. Lineage: Eukaryota; Viridiplantae; Streptophyta; Magnoliopsida; Malpighiales; Euphorbiaceae.